UGUCAAUAAUAAGUGUUGCUGUGAAGAGAACAAUAGUCAGACUGAAUGUUGAACAUCAGCUAGUUUCUCCUGCUGAUUUAAACCUUGUUGGACAGAUGGAACAUUGGCUGUGGAUUAUUCUAGCUGCUCUUUUCUUUGAGUGUAAAGGAGACUCAGUGACGCAGACAGAAGUUCAUGUUGUUGCUGCUAAAGGAGAAUCUGUGACUCUGGGAUGCAAUUUUACAAGCACCCGUACAAAUGAUGCCUUCUUCUGGUACAAACAAGAACAAAACAGCUUCCCAAAGUACAUGCUGAAAGAAUAUCUAGGAAGACCUGAAAAUGCACCUGAGUUCAGCAAAGACAGGUUUCAUGCAGAGCUCAAGAACUCAACAUUUAACCUGACGAUCCAGGAUCUCCAUCUGUCAGACUCUGCUGUGUACUACUGUGCUCUGCAGCCCACAGUGACAGGAAACACCAGAACUCUGUUCAAAAACCUGCAGAGAAAUCACAAGGCAAUACUCCACAACAUCCUAUAGAGGGCCUAACACACUAGCUUAAAGAGCCAAAUUAAUAAAAUGUUAAAUAUUACAAUAGUCUAGAAAUCCUCUGGUAA
Cyprinodon tularosa is the source of this 592-nucleotide non-coding RNA. The record is from the annotation of a RefSeq genome assembly. NCBI's taxonomy places the organism in Eukaryota, Metazoa, Chordata, Actinopteri, Cyprinodontiformes, Cyprinodontidae.